RNAcentral lists this ribosomal RNA (544 nucleotides) under bacterium 21B3. RNAcentral describes it as "bacterial SSU rRNA". It matches the Rfam family "Bacterial small subunit ribosomal RNA", at positions 56 to 646 of the family's 1533-position model. The record is from RNAcentral.
UGCAGUCGAACGGAUCCUUCNNGGNUUAGUGGCAGACGGGUGAGUAACGCGUGGGAAGCUACCUUGUGGUAGGGGACAACAGUUGGAAACGACUGCUAAUACCCUAUGAGCCCUAUGGGGGAAAGAUUUAUCGCCAUGAGAUGUGCCCGCGUUAGNUUAGCUAGUUGGUAAGGUAAUGGCUUACCAAGGCGACGAUCUAUAGCUGGUCUGAGAGGAUGAUCAGCCACACUGGGACUGAGACACGGCCCAGACUCCUACGGGAGGCAGCAGUGGGGAAUAUUGGACAAUGGGGGCAACCCUGAUCCAGCCAUGCCGCGUGUGUGAUGACGGCCUUAGGGUUGUAAAGCACUUUCAGCAGUGAAGAUAAUGACAUUAACUGCNGAAGAAGCCCCGGCUAACUUCGUGCCAGCAGCCGCGGUAAUANNAAGGGGGCUAGCGUUGUUCGGAAUCACUGGGCGUAAAGAGUACGUAGGCGGACUGAUAAGUUAGGGGUGAAAUCCCAAGGCUCAACCUUGGAACUGCCUUUGAUACUGUCAGUCUUGAG